CUGCUCGUACGAUCAGGAGCUGCUUCGACCUGCAGUGAGAUGAGUGUCAGUGUCUUCUCUUCCAGUUGCCCCAAAAACUACAACAGUGGCGAGACACACGCUGUGAUCGGAUCAGCUGUAACGUUCCUUAGACUGUCAAGAAACUCCCCGGUCCCCGGAUCACAUACUAUCAGCCUCAGCUUCCAGACCAACAUCAAUCAUUCCGCCCAAGAUUUUCACGGAUCGGUAACCGUCGCCCAUUUACCCUUUCCGGAGACCACAUCUCCAUCAGCAUCAUCCAGAAACGAGGAGGGGCUUCUUCCAGCACAGGAAACUGAACGGAUACACGGGGGCCUCCUUCCUGUCAGCGACAAGUCCAAAAGACCCAAAAAAAGACUUCCCUGAUCCACAGUGGAGAUGAAGCCUGCCUGAGGAAAAGGCAACGCUCAGCAACCUUCCCUCGCCAAAAUCUAAUCGUCUUCAUCACGUCCGGUAUGCGUGUAACACAGAAGGAGUCCAUGACCUCCCGAAAAAAAAGGAUUUUCCUCGCCACUAUUACCCUUCAAAAAACGUCAUGGGGUUAAGGAAAGAUGUGACGAGAAUUCAUGAGGAUUUAGGAACAAACACCUGGAGAAAUCUGACUGAAUUUACGACUGAGCGAAUGAUGAUGAAUGAUGAUGAGAUGAUGAAAUGAUGAUGAAUGCCAACCAUUUUGAUGUAAUUGAGUGGCGUUUGUCGUGGGAAACGACAGUUUUCCAUACAGCGGAACUAAUAAAAGUGCCAAUCAGAUAACUUCUCCCUCUGUUUUGUUUAUAUGCCUGUUGCCUUUAUAAACUACCUUGACAAAUAUAUCUUCAUUACCAUGGUUGGAAUUUAAAUAAAAAAAUGUAAGUAAAAACGUG
This is a long non-coding RNA of Notothenia coriiceps (black rockcod), 881 nucleotides long. RefSeq lists it as uncharacterized. NCBI's taxonomy places the organism in Eukaryota, Metazoa, Chordata, Actinopteri, Perciformes, Nototheniidae. The record is from RefSeq and is a predicted model, not a curated record. The transcript has 2 exons.